CUUGGUCAUUUAGAGGAAGUAAAAGUCGUAACAAGGUUUCCGUAGGUGAACCUGCGGAAGGAUCAUUAUUGAAUAAACCUGGCGUGGUUGUAGCUGGCUCUUUAGGGAGCAUGUGCUCGCCCGUCAUCUUUAUCUUUCCACCUGUGCACUUCUUGUAGGUCUGGAUGUAAACUUUCCGAGGCAACUCGGUCGGGAGGAAUGUCAGCUUUUGUUGGCUUUCCUUGUAUGUCCAGGUCUAUGUUUUCAUAUACUCCAAAGCAUGUAACAGAAUGUGUCUAAGGUCUUUGUGCCUUAUAAACUAUAUACAACUUUCAGCAACGGAUCUCUUGGCUCUCGCAUCGAUGAAGAACGCAGCGAAAUGCGAUAAGUAAUGUGAAUUGCAGAAUUCAGUGAAUCAUCGAAUCUUUGAACGCACCUUGCGCCCCUUGGUAUUCCGAGGGGCAUGCCUGUUUGAGUGUCAUUAAAUUCUCAACCUUACUAGCUUUUACUAGCUAUGUAAUGGCUUGGAAGUGGGGGUCUUUUGCUGGUUUCGCAAGAAGUCAGCUCCCCUAAAAUGCAUUAGCCGGUGCCCCGCGUGGACCGUCUAUUGGUGUGAUAAUUAUCUACGCCGUUAGACGUCCGCUAUUAAAUGGGAUGCGCUGCUUCUAAUCGUCCGUCUUGGACAAUUAAUGACUAUUUGACCUCAAAUCAGGUAGGACUACCCGCUGAACUUAAGCAUAUCAAUAAGCGGAGGA
RNAcentral lists this ribosomal RNA (734 nucleotides) under Gymnopilus sp. YO195. Its description in RNAcentral is "eukaryotic LSU rRNA". The stretch from base 307 to 460 matches the Rfam family "5.8S ribosomal RNA". The record is from RNAcentral. Lineage: Eukaryota; Fungi; Basidiomycota; Agaricomycetes; Agaricales; Galerinaceae.